CUACGGGUGGCAGCAGUGGGGAAUAUUGGACAAUGGGGGAAACCCUGAUCCAGCAAUGCCGCGUGUGUGAAGAAGGCCUGCGGGUUGUAAAGCACUUUCGGUUGGGAGGACUGCUUCUAGCACUAAUAUUGUUGGAAGUUGACGUUACCUUCAGAAGAAGCACCGGCUAACUCCGUGCCAGCAGCCGCGGUAAUACGGAGGGUGCAAGGCGUAAUCGGAAUUACUGGGCGUAAAGCGCGCGUAGGCGGCUAGAUCAGUCGGGUGUGAAAGCCCCGGGCUUAACCUGGGAACUGCAUCCGAUACUGUCUAGCUUGAGUACAGGAGAGGAGAGUGGAAUUCCACAUGUAGCGGUGAAAUGCGUAGAUAUGUGGAGGAACACCAAUGGCGAAGGCAGCUCUCUGGCCUGAUACUGACGCUGAGGUGCGAAAGCGUGGGGAGCAAACAGGAUUAGAUACCCGAGUAGUC
Molecule: ribosomal RNA, 465 nt
Filed under: uncultured bacterium
Lineage: Bacteria
Description: partial 16S ribosomal RNA
Rfam family: Bacterial small subunit ribosomal RNA
Source: RNAcentral